This 301-nucleotide ribosomal RNA is filed under the name uncultured bacterium. Its description in RNAcentral is "partial 16S ribosomal RNA". It matches the Rfam family "Bacterial small subunit ribosomal RNA", at positions 509 to 807 of the family's 1533-position model. The record is from RNAcentral.
CAGCCGCCGCGGUAAUACAGAGGGUGCGAGCGUUAAUCGGAAUUACUGGGCGUAAAGGGCGCGUAGGCGGUUAGGAAGGUGUGAUGUGAAAGCCCUGGGCUUAACCUAGGAAGUGCAUCGCAAACCAACUAGCUGGAGUAUAAGAGAGGGUGGCGGAAUUUCCGGUGUAGCGGUGAAAUGCGUAGAGAUCGGAAGGAACGUCAAUGGCGAAGGCAGCCACCUGGCUUAAUACUGACGCUGAGGCGCGAAAGCGUGGGGAGCGAACAGGAUUAGAUACCCCUGUAGUCCCUGUCUCUUAUAC